GAUGAACGCUAGCUACAGGCUUAACACAUGCAAGUCGAGGGGCAGCGGGAUUGAAGCUUGCUUCAAUUGCCGGCGACCGGCGCACGGGUGAGUAACGCGUAUCCAACCUUCCGUACACUCAGGGAUAGCCUUUCGAAAGAAAGAUUAAUACCUGAUGGUAUGAUGAGAUUGCAUGAUAGCAUCAUUAAAGAUUUAUCGGUGUACGAUGGGGAUGCGUUCCAUUAGGUAGUAGGCGGGGUAACGGCCCACCUAGCCAACGAUGGAUAGGGGUUCUGAGAGGAAGGUCCCCCACAUUGGAACUGAGACACGGUCCAAACUCCUACGGGAGGCAGCAGUGAGGAAUAUUGGUCAAUGGGACGAGAGUCUGAACCAGCCAAGUAGCGUGCAGGAUGACGGCCCUAUGGGUUGAAACUGCUUUUAUAAGGGAAUAAAGUGAGUCUCGUGAGACUUUUUGCAUGUACCUUAUGAAUAAGGACCGGCUAA
RNAcentral lists this ribosomal RNA (483 nucleotides) under uncultured bacterium. RNAcentral's name for it is "bacterial SSU rRNA". It matches the Rfam family "Bacterial small subunit ribosomal RNA", at positions 28 to 500 of the family's 1533-position model. The record is from RNAcentral.